Molecule: long non-coding RNA, 395 nt
Filed under: Gossypium barbadense (sea-island cotton)
Lineage: Eukaryota; Viridiplantae; Streptophyta; Magnoliopsida; Malvales; Malvaceae
Description: long non-coding RNA (GBAR_LNC018297)
Source: RNAcentral
GAGAAGCAACAGCAGUAGCAGCGACGACGAAAGGAAGCAUCGCCGACAAAGCCUGAGACAAAUCACCUUUCCUUGCCCCACCAUCUGUCUUAUUCCCAAUCGAGACCCUUUGCGACCCAAUUCCUCGUACGUACGGCGUCGUCGAACAGGCGAAUACCAACAACCUUCGUCCAUUAACUUUUCUGCCGACGUCGACACCACCCUUCCACACGGAAUCGAACCAAUUCUCGAAUAACAACUCGGCGUCACUUGUUUCGAACAGAUUGAGAGCUGCUUCCUGGUGGGGACUGCGAGAGAAAGAAAGGGAGUGAUCGACGUCAUUGUGGUGGAUCGAUGUUUUCUUCACUAUUUAACGCCGACGCCGGAGAUAGGUGGUGGCCUGCCGGGGAGGUUUU